CCGCUGUGAUGUAAGAAAUCUACUUAAAUGCACCAAUCACAGGAGAAGGGAGUAAGCAGUUAGGCAAAAAACCAAAAGAAGAGUGAGAGAGUGAAGCUGCCUCGAAAGAAGCAGUCACCGGCCACCCAGGGACACAACCAGCCAGAAGUAACACGCAGGAGGUGAGCCAGGGAAGUCGAUACUGGGGC
Long non-coding RNA from Symphalangus syndactylus (siamang), 188 nucleotides. RefSeq lists it as uncharacterized. NCBI's taxonomy places the organism in Eukaryota, Metazoa, Chordata, Mammalia, Primates, Hylobatidae. The record is from RefSeq and is a predicted model, not a curated record.